Molecule: non-coding RNA, 36 nt
Filed under: Oxyrrhis marina
Lineage: Eukaryota; Dinophyceae; Oxyrrhinales; Oxyrrhinaceae
Source: RNAcentral
CUGGGAUGAUUGCUGCUGGUGCCCCCACUUUAACUG